This 253-nucleotide ribosomal RNA is filed under the name uncultured bacterium. RNAcentral's name for it is "partial 16S ribosomal RNA". It matches the Rfam family "Bacterial small subunit ribosomal RNA", at positions 524 to 776 of the family's 1533-position model. The record is from RNAcentral.
UACGGAGGGUGCAAGCGUUGUCCGGAAUUAUUGGGCGUAAAGAGCUCGUAGGCGGUCUGUCACGUCGGCUGUGAAAACUCGGGGCUCAACCCCGAGCCUGCAGUCGAUACGGGCAGACUAGAGUCCGGCAGGGGAGACUGGAAUUCCUGGUGUAGCGGUUAAAUGCGCAGAUAUCAGGAGGAACACCGGUGGCGAAGGCGGGUCUCUGGGCCGGAACUGACGCUGAGGAGCGAAAGCGUGGGGAGCGAACAGG